CGCGACGGGUGAGUAACGCGUAGAUAACCUGUCUUCAUGUCUGGAAUAAUACGCCGAAAGGGGUACUAAUACCGGAUAUUCUUGCUUUUCAUAAGUUAUGCAAGCAAAGGUGGCCUCUGCAUAUGCUACUGCAUGAAGAGGGGUCUGCGUACCAUUAGCUAGUAGGUGGGGUAAUGGCCUACCUAGGCGACGAUGGUUAGCGGGUCUGAGAGGAUGAUCCGCCACACUGGCACUGGAACACGGGCCAGACUCCUACGGGAGGCAGCAGUGAGGAAUAUUGCGCAAUGGGGGAAACCCUGACGCAGCGACGCCGCGUGAGUGAAGGAAGGCCUUCGGGUCGUAAAGCUCUGUCAAGAGGAAAGAAGUGUACAAUGGCUAAUACCUGUUGUAUUUGACGGUACCUCUAAAGGAAGCACCGGCUAACUCCGUGCCAGCAGCCGC
This 441-nucleotide ribosomal RNA is filed under the name uncultured bacterium. RNAcentral describes it as "bacterial SSU rRNA". It matches the Rfam family "Bacterial small subunit ribosomal RNA", at positions 98 to 518 of the family's 1533-position model. The record is from RNAcentral.